AAAUGCAAUGAAUGAUUUAAUCAGACCACAGCGUUAGUUAAAAGAAGGAAAGCAAGAGAUUAUUGGCUGUGCUGAGGUUCCUCGUGUUUUUGUCUGACCUGUUAGCGUGCCCACGAGGAUAAAGCUCGACUGCAGCCUGGACAGAGCUUGCAUCAAUAAUUGCUCGCAUGAAUGUCAUCCUUUCUGAAGUUGGUCGUCAGUUCCUCUGUGAAACUUAGUUUGGCCACGUAGAAAAAAAAAGAGAGAGAAAAAAAAACAAACAAAAAAAAAGACAAGUCCUCGCCUCCCUUUCUGAUUUGUUUUCUUUACCACUUCCUCCACCACCUCAGGUUAAACUUUAGCUCUUGUCUCUUUUUUUAUUUUGGCAGUAAACAGAAACAUGCAAACACGUGCACACCUUGGCACCAAGGUCCGGCUGUCAUUGCACAGGGAAUUAAGUGACUGGUCAACGUGCCAGUUCAGAUGCAAAAUCUCAGAGGAUGAAGCGUUUAGCCCUUUGUGCGUCCUUCUGCUCCACCUGCCAAAAGCACACGUGUGGACGGGUCGAGGUGAUGCUACGUCACGUCCGAUCUGACCACCGCAGGGGAAAAAGUAAAAAAAACAACAAAAAACAUUUUUCUAAUCUGACCUAACUUUCUGCUUCAGUGCUGCCAGCCAACCUGAACCCGUUGUAGAUUUAUCUUGAAGCCACAGCUCAAGAUGAGGAAGCACAGACAUUCUACCUCUGCAAACUACUUGGUACAGCCGAUAAUCGGCUCCAUGUUGAACCUUGCAACUGAAAAGUGUUUUUUUUCCCCCUUUCUUACAGAUACCUGUAGCUGCACAUCUGCUCCAGCACAUCCCAACUGCAAGAAACUCUGUGUGGGACCUGUCAACCUAACUGAGGAUCAGAGAUCACAAAGCUGCAGGUGAAGGGGAAAUUGCUGCUCAUCGAUGAAAAUGACUUCACAUUGCCUGCGGUCCCAGGUUGUAGGCUUCGGGGGAAACCCUACCACUUUGUUCAAAAGGUUCAAAGACUGAGGGGCCUUUCAAGACGUACAGGAUUCCUCCCUGCCUGUGAAUCUUUGCAGAAAAGGGGGCUGAGUAUCCCGUUUCAGAUCAAGUCAUAAGAAGGUUUGGAAACGUUUCUGCUGAACAAACACGAGAGAUCCAUCUCCACUAACUAGAUGUUGAUUCCACAAGCAAGCAGCACUUAACCUUUCAUCGGGCAUGUGAAUCACUUGAUGACAUGACAUGACAGAUAACACAGCGAGACAGAAGAGGGGUGUGCGGACGCCACAAAAGAGCUAUUAAACCCCAGAAAGAGCCGGAGAACUGAUGAGAUCCUCAUUGCGCUGACACCGUUUUUUAGUGAUGGGAUUCAUCAGCAGCUGACGACACAAAACUCCCACGUAUUUUCAAGUGGAGCGUCCUUGAGUUCGCCUUCCGCAUCCCAGCACAAGGAAGGCUGGUGGUCAGGAAAGAGAGAAUACGCUCAAGAUCCAGACUGGUUGAGGUCAAAAGACAGGAUUAAAAUGCACGCACGCAUAUGGGUCAGAGAUGUACUUGACUGGCCGAGAAAACACGUCCAACCCACACACACACACACACAAACACUUCAGAGCUGUAUUUACGCCAGCCUCUCUUCUAGGCACAGCACUUGGUCCAGAAGGCCCUCGCUGCAGGGGGAGGAUAGGGGUGGGGGAGGCAGGGACGGAGGAAGAGGGGGCAGAAAAGGAGACAGGUGAGGGAGGAGGAUGAGAGAGCAGGAGAGACAGUGAUGACACUCGGUUUUGAAUGUCACCAUGGUGCUAAAGCUCCCCGCUAACCUUUUGGCUGGAAAUGAUAUGACUGGAGGGAUAGGGGAAGGGAGAGUGGGGAGGGGAGAAAAACGACAGGCAGGCAAAGAUGGAGAGAAAAAGAGAUGGAAAGGGUGACAAUGAAGAGAAGGAGAAAGGGAGGAAGGGAGAGGGGGGGGGGAGGCUCAUGCUUGGGCAGAGGAGUGGGUGGGUGGAGGUGGAGCAAUAGAUGGCAAAGAUGAAAGAGAUGGAGGCAAACAACAGCACUACUUCCAUUCCCUCCCAAAAGGGCUGCUGUCUACGACACACGAUGAUGAUGGGAGACAAAAUGGCCACCCUAACAAACACCAGUCAUCUGGCUCAACCAACACUGGCCUUUAAGCACUGAAGUGACCACUCCACCACACCACCUGCUGCUACCUGACCUACAGACUGCACGACACGCUCCGCAGUGGGGCUGAAAACCUGUGACAUCCGACACGAAAUUGUAUUUUUCUCCCCGUUCCCGGAGGGAGAGGACGACGCUUUUCUAAUUACUUUCAAACCGAAUCGGGAACAAAUCUGUACCCUAAAAAAACUUUGGGAGGCGGAAAAAACCUGCGGUGACGACAUAACUCUGCCCCAACAAGGUCUGAAAACUUUCUAACACGCAAGCAGCUGUUGGUUGAUGACAGAGCAAACCACUGCCGUAGAAAACACCUGCUCAUUAUUCUCCUGCCAGCAGUCUUACAACUUCCACUUCAAGAGCGGUGUAAGAAGCACAGAGUUGCUAGAAAGGCUGUGAACAGAUUCCAACUUACUCUUCCAGUCGGUCCAUGAAGACAGCAGGCUCUCAGAAAGUAGGAUCUUUGUUACCAAUUCACAAAAACACCCGAACUGCACAGAGAGCCAAGGAUGCAUCAAUUUACAGCCUAAUUCUCCAUUAAUGUGCAGCUCAGCUGCUGUAGUAAAAACUAUCUUAUUUUAGCUAAUUGUUUUUAUCUUUUCAUUUUUUUAACCCAUCGUGGUUGUGCUUCAAUAUAAAUUAGAUGCAUACAUAUAUUUUGAUGUAUGAAUGAGAAUAAACUUGUAACGUUUUUACUUUUUGCUGGAUUAAAAACCGAUAUCUCCAAAGAACAUAAAGCAACGUUCUUGAAUUAUUGUACAUAUGGGAAGAAAAUUAAAAGACUGAAGUUGGUAAAAAUGAGAAUCAGCGGCUCAGACCUCAAAGAAAAC
Molecule: long non-coding RNA, 2993 nt
Organism: Xiphophorus hellerii (green swordtail)
Lineage: Eukaryota; Metazoa; Chordata; Actinopteri; Cyprinodontiformes; Poeciliidae
Exons: 3
Source: RefSeq, a predicted model, not a curated record